AGCAGCCGCGGUAAUUCCAGCUCCAAUAGCGUAUAUUAAAGUUGUUGCAGUUAAAAAGCUCGUAGUUGAAUUUUGGAUUCGGCCAAUUGGUCCAUCUUUUAGAUGAGUACUGGUUGUGUUGGGUCUAUCCGCCUGGUGAUACGUAAUGCCCUUUAUUGGGUGUUGCGGGUAGUCAGGACCUUUACCUUGAAAAAAUUAGAGUGUUUAAAGCAGGCUUAUGCCGGAAUACAUUAGCAUGGAAUAAUAGAAUAGGACGAAGUUGUUUUAUUUUGUUGGUUUCUAGGACAACCGUAAUGAUUAAUAGGGAUAGUUGGGGGCAUUAGUAUUCAAUUGUCAGAGGUGAAAUUCUUGGAUUUAUUGAAGACUAACUACUGCGAAAGCAUUUGCCAAGGAUGUUUUCAUUAAUCAAGAACGAAAGUUAGGGGAUCGAAGACGAUCAGAUACCGUCGU
RNAcentral lists this ribosomal RNA (450 nucleotides) under uncultured Glomeromycotina. RNAcentral's name for it is "SSU rRNA". It matches the Rfam family "Eukaryotic small subunit ribosomal RNA", at positions 569 to 1021 of the family's 1831-position model. The record is from RNAcentral. Lineage: Eukaryota; Fungi; Glomeromycota.